This 426-nucleotide ribosomal RNA is filed under the name uncultured prokaryote. Its description in RNAcentral is "bacterial SSU rRNA". It matches the Rfam family "Bacterial small subunit ribosomal RNA", at positions 355 to 796 of the family's 1533-position model. The record is from RNAcentral.
UGGGGAAUUUUCCGCAAUGGGCGCAAGCCUGACGGAGCAACGCCGCGUGCGGGAGGACGGCCUGUGGGUUGUAAACCGCUUUUAUCAGGGAAGAAGUUCUGACGGUACUUAAAGAAUCAGCAUCGGCUAACUCCGUGCCAGCAGCCGCGGUAAUACGGAGGAUGCAAGCGUUAUCCGGAAUCAUUGGGCGUAAAGCGUCCGCAGGUGGCUAAUCAAGUCUGCUGUUAAAGACGGAAGCUUAACUUCUGAAAAGCAGUGGAAACUGGUAAGCUAGAGUACGGUAGGGGUUGAGGGAAUUCCCAGUGUAGCGGUGAAAUGCGUAGAUAUUGGGAAGAACACCAGUGGCGAAGGCGCUCAACUGGGCCGUAACUGACACUCAGGGACGAAAGCUAGGGUAGCGAAAGGGAUUAGAUACCCCCGUAGUCC